RNAcentral lists this ribosomal RNA (207 nucleotides) under uncultured bacterium. RNAcentral describes it as "partial 16S ribosomal RNA". It matches the Rfam family "Bacterial small subunit ribosomal RNA", at positions 568 to 774 of the family's 1533-position model. The record is from RNAcentral.
UGCGUAGGCGGUUUACUAAGUCAGAUGUGAAAGCCCCGGGCUUAACCUGGGAAUUGCAUUUGAUACUGGUAGGCUAGAGUAUGAUAGAGGGGGGUAGAAUUCCUGGUGUAGCGGUGAAAUGCGUAGAUAUCAGGAGGAAUACCAGUGGCGAAGGCGGCCCCCUGGAUCAAUACUGACGCUGAGGUACGAAAGCGUGGGUAGCGAACA